GCCUUGGUAGCUCAGUGAUUAGAGCACCUGUCAUGAGAUCGGGGCGUCGUGGGUUGGAAUCCUGCUCGGGGCA
This is a non-coding RNA of Desmophyllum pertusum, 73 nucleotides long. The record is from the annotation of a GenBank genome assembly. NCBI's taxonomy places the organism in Eukaryota, Metazoa, Cnidaria, Anthozoa, Scleractinia, Caryophylliidae.